RNAcentral lists this small RNA (4330 nucleotides) under Histoplasma capsulatum. Its description in RNAcentral is "hypothetical RNA". The record is from RNAcentral. RNAcentral also lists the same sequence under 1 other name. Lineage: Eukaryota; Fungi; Ascomycota; Eurotiomycetes; Onygenales; Ajellomycetaceae.
UUGGCGUGAGAGAGCGAGAGAGAGAGUGUGUGUGUGUGCGUGUCCGCGCUAACCUGCAACCAAAGCCCAUACAUGCAUAACACCAAGCCGUCGAAUUUUUUGAACUAAUUGGUUUGAAGAGGAGAUCUUGCCCGGGUUUUUCAAAAGGUCGCAUGCAGGUUUCUUUUUCUUUUCUUUUCUUUUCUUUUUUAAUUUUCUUUCUCGCGCGCUGGAGCACCCGACUUGAUUAAUCUAUCUGCAAUAACUAUAUACAGAGUGUGUUUUGUCGAUAGAGUAAGGGAUGAUGGAACGCCGGUUGGCCUUUUCUUUUCUUUUCUUUUCUUUUUUUGUGUAUGCAACAAUUCAUGCUUCUUGACGCCUUGGGUGGCUUGCCAAUGGUAUUUUUUGAGUUUUUUUUGGCUCUGUGAUGCGAGGAGAUGGAUGCAAGGGAGUCUAGCGUUUUCACAGAGAUCGUUUGCUGCUGCUGACUGACUACAUCUAUCUGUUCAUGAUUGAUAUACGGAAAUUUUUUUUUGCUUCUCCCUCCCCCGCUCCCCCACACAGAUAUUCUCUUUCCACUUGCAUCACGGACACAUGGCAUAUGGAAGAGAACUUAUGUAGGGAGCUUUUUUCAGGACGAUAUAUACAGAAACCACGAAAACCCCGGAACCAAGGAAUAAGCAACACCUUCUUGGCGUUUAUGGGGGGAUCUGCUUCAAUGGCGACCGGGGGAUAGAGAGAGGGCAAAGGGACUUCUCCAGGAUUCGUUGCUAAACAACCAGUUACGCUCCUAGCAUCGAAUCGGAUUGACGAUAGACAAGAGUGUUCAAGAAGGCCAGCCAGGAUGGUAUUUCGGAACGUCCCCGUACCCGAUCAAUCUGCCUUCCAGCGAGACCCAGUCGAUUGUUCAGUUCCACGCGUUUACAUGUUAGUGGUAGAAGGAAAGCUCUACCACAGCGCGACGCGGCAAAAGGAGUUAGGACGACAGAUACAUCUGUAAGGUUGUUUGUUUAGCUUACUGCUGCCGAGCAAAGACGAUACGAAUAUAUAAAGGUGCAGGCCAGCUGUAGUUAAAGUAGGUAAUGACCUCGGUAUCGCCCAAGGACGCUAAACCGUGCAAGGCAACUCGUUACCCACAACUUCCCCCACACUUUGCUUGCUCUAUCCCAGCUGCCUUUGGACAUUGGAGCUCGGUUUACAGCAUUGCUGGCAAGAGGAGAAGAUAAGUGGAAGAAUUGGAAUCACAAAAAUAGGAACAAGAAGAAACGAAAAUUACUAGUACAUCUGCACAGAUCAGGCUUCUCUGGAGAAACUUGGACGUCAUUUUUUUUUAAUUUUUUUGCCUUUUUCGAUUGCUUCUGCUCUUCUGCGCUGCGUUACUGGCCUCUCCUGGUAAAUACAGAUUCGCCAGACAACCACACAUUGUCCUGCUGCUCUGCGUAACUCCCACCGCGACGACAAUUAUCUGAUAUCGAGCUGUUCUGCUCUCUGUUCUUGCUCUCUAUUCUUGGUUCAUUUCUAUAUUUAGUUAGCCACAGCUUGCUGAGUCCUGACCAAAUGCAGCUUGUUCCGAGAGAGCUUGACAAGCUCGUCACCUCCCAGCUUGGCUUUCUGGCUCAGCGGCGUCUGGCUCGUGGAGUUCGGUUGAAUCAUGCGGAAGCGACGGCAUUAAUCGCAUCAAACAUACAGGAGCUGAUACGUGAUGGCCACCAUACUGUGGCCGACCUGAUGGCCAUCGGCAAGAUGAUGCUGGGGCGACGUCAUGUUCUGCCAUCAGUGACCUCCACCGUUCAUGAGGUCUUUGUGGAGGGCACUUUCCCUUCCGGCACGUAUCUAGUAACCAUCCACGAACCUAUCAGCACCGAGGACGGCGAUUUGGAGAAGGCCUUGUAUGGCAGUUUCCUGCCCGUGCCUUCGAAGGAUAUUUUCCCUGAUCCUGACCCGGAAGAUUAUCACCCUUUGAAAAUGCCGGGGGCGGUUAUUCCUGUCAAGCAGUCCAGAAUUAUGCUAAGUGAGGGACGUAAAAGAAUCUCUCUUAAAGUAACCAGUAAAGGGGAUAGGCCCAUUCAGGUUGGCUCCCAUUACCACUUCAUCGAGGUCAAUCCGCAUCUGGAUUUUGAUAGACUCAGAUCGUAUGGCUACCGCCUGGAUAUCCCCGCGGGAACUGCUAUCCGGUUCGAACCGGGAGAUUCCAAAACGGUGACUCUCGUUGAGAUAGGUGGAAACAAGGUGAUUCACGGGGGUAAUUUUCUGGCCAGUGGCAAAGUGGACCUCACCAGGGCAGAUGAAAUUCUUGAGCGACUUCAAAAAGCCGGGUUCGCGCAUACACCUGAGCCAGCGAGUGAUAUUACCCAUAUCGACCCGCAUUCGAUGGAUAGGGAAUCGUACAUGCGCAUGUUUGGCGCCACCACCGGCGACCUUAUUAGACUAGGCUCAACGGAUCUAUGGAUAAAGGUAGAAAAGGACUUAACUUCGUUUGGGGAUGAGUGUACGUUUGGCGGGGGCAAGACCUUGAGAGAAGGCAUGGGCCAAGCGUCCGGAAGAUGCUCAGACGACGUACUGGACACCGUUAUUACGAAUGCACUUAUUGUCGAUUGGACUGGGAUUUAUGUAGCUGAUAUCGGCAUUAAGGAUGGAAAUAUUGUCGGUAUCGGAAAAGCGGGGAACCCUGAUGUUAUGGAUGGGGUCUAUCCGAAUAUGUUUGUUGGAUCUGGUACUGAUGUAAUUUCUGGGGAACGAAACAUAGUCACCGCUGGUGGCGUGGAUACUCACAUUCAUUUUAUCACCCCGGAUCAGGUACAGGAGGCUCUGGCGUCAGGUGUCACCACGAUGCUGGGUGGUGGUACAGGUCCCAGUACUGGAACAAACGCGACCACGUGUACGCCGGGGCCGAACCAUAUGAAAAAUAUCAUCCAGGCCUGUGACGGCUUACCAAUGAAUUUUGGGAUCACAGGUAAAGGGAAUGAUUGCCAGCCCCAAAGUCUGAGAGAGCAGAUUCGUGCUGGAGCUGCAGGUCUGAAACUACAUGAAGACUGGGGCUGUACCCCAGCGGCAAUCGAUACAUGCCUCUCGGUUUGCGAUGAGUAUGACGUGCAGUGUCUCAUCCACACCGAUACGCUUAACGAAUCUGGUUUUGUCGAACAAUCGAUCCAAGCAUUCAAGGGUCGCGCCAUCCACACCUACCAUACCGAAGGCGCGGGUGGAGGCCAUGCGCCGGAUAUCAUCUCAGCCGUCCAAUUCCCUAAUGUCCUACCAAGUAGCACCAACCCUACACGCCCAUUCACUUUAAAUACUCUAGACGAGCACCUGGACAUGGUCAUGGUAUGCCAUCAUCUUUCCAAAAACAUCCGUGAAGACGUCGCAUUCGCCGAGAGCCGUAUUCGUGCUGAAACAAUUGCGGCAGAAGACGUGCUGCACGACCUGGGUGCCAUCAGCAUGAUUUCUUCAGAUUCCCAGGCUAUGGGUCGCUGCGGUGAAGUGAUUCUUCGCACGUGGAACACGGCGCAUAAGAACAAGCUUCAGCGUGGCCCCUUAGAGGAAGAUAGAGGAACGGGCGCGGAUAAUUUUAGGGUGAAAAGGUAUAUCAGUAAGUAUACAAUUAACCCGGCAAUCACGCAGGGCAUGUCCCACCUUAUUGGCAGUGUUGAGGUGGGGAAGGUUGCAGAUCUUGUCAUGUGGAAGUUUUCGGACUUUGGAACGAAACCAAAUAUGGUGUUGAAAUCUGGUAUGAUUGCUAUGGCGAUGAUGGGCGACGCGAACGGUUCGAUCUCAACUAUCGAACCCAUGCUGAUGAGGGCGAUGUAUGCGGCCCACCUUCCCAGAACAUCCAUAACGUUUGUCUCCCAAGCAUCGAAAAGCCUGGGCAUCAUUGAUUCGUACGGGCUCAAAAGGCGCGUUGAAGUAGUGAAGAAUUGUCGAAAUAUUAGCAAGAAAGAUAUGAAAUUUAACGAUGUGAUGCCUAAGAUGAGAGUUGAUCCGGAAAGUUAUGUUGUCGAAGCGGAUGGUAAAAUUUGUCGGGCGGAGCCAGCUGCGCAACUGCCCUUAACGCAGGAACAUUUUAUUUUUUAAUUAAGUUUUUUCUCAGCUUCUCUACUCUACCAGCCCUCUUUUCAGCUAUUGCAAUUGGUUAUAUUUAUUGGCAAUUGAUAGUGGGAAUGCUUUGAGAGCUACGUGGGAAAGUGAUAUACAGGACAGGACCGUCCAGCACAUAACGUAUUUUACCCUGGUUAGAUGAUAGUUAAAGCCGAGGGAGCCAUACAUAUAUUAUAAUUAUACUUGUGUCACUUUCGAGAACAUCCACUAUAGCCAGUUUUCGAGGCUGAAUAAAUAAAAUUCCUUUUCGUUUGAAGAA